GACGAACGCUGGCGGCGUGCCUAAUACAUGCAAGUCGAACGAGAGCGACCGGUGCUUGCACUGGUCAAUCUAGUGGCGGACGGGUGAGUAACACGUGGGUAACCUGCCCAUCAGAGGGGGAUAACAUCCGGAAACGGAUGCUAAAACCGCAUAGGUCUUCGAACCGCAUGGUUUGAAGAGGAAAAGAGGCGCAAGCUUCUGCUGAUGGAUGGACCCGCGGUGCAUUAGCUAGUUGGUGAGGUAACGGCUCACCAAGGCCGUGAUGCAUAGCCGACCUGAGAGGGUGAUCGGCCACAUUGGGACUGAGACACGGCCCAAACUCCUACGGGAGGCAGCAGUAGGGAAUCUUCCGCAAUGGACGCAAGUCUGACGGAGCAACGCCGCGUGAGUGAAGAAGGUUUUCGGAUCGUAAAACUCUGUUGUUAGAGAAGAACAAGUGCUAGAGUAACUGUUAGCGCCUUGACGGUAUCUAACCAGAAAGCCACGGCUAACUACGUG
This 498-nucleotide ribosomal RNA is filed under the name uncultured bacterium. RNAcentral's name for it is "partial 16S ribosomal RNA". It matches the Rfam family "Bacterial small subunit ribosomal RNA", at positions 28 to 507 of the family's 1533-position model. The record is from RNAcentral.